CAAUAGCGUAUAUUUAAGUUGCUGCAGUUAAAAAGCUCGUAGUUGGAUUUCGGGUGGGAAUGGCCGGUCCGCCGUUUCGGUGUGCACUUGCUACGCCCACCUUGCUGCCGGGGACGUGCUCUUGAGUUCACGCUCGGGACACGGAGUCGGCGAGGUUACUUUGAGUAAAUUAGAGUGUUCAAAGCAGGCAUACGCUCUGAAUACAUUAGCAUGGAAUAACACGAUAGGACUCUGGCCUAUCUUGUUGGUCUGUAGGACCGGAGUAAUGAUUAAGAGGGACAGUCGGGGGCAUUCGUAUUUCAUUGUCAGAGGUGAAAUUCUUGGAUUUAUGAAAGACGAACUACUGCGAAAGCAUUUGCCAAGGAUGUUUUCAUUAA
Molecule: ribosomal RNA, 377 nt
Filed under: uncultured eukaryote
Lineage: Eukaryota
Description: partial 18S ribosomal RNA
Rfam family: Eukaryotic small subunit ribosomal RNA
Source: RNAcentral